UAUCAUGAUAGAGGUGCGGAUUUCAUCAGUACUCUGCGGCAAAAGGCUCGGGAGCCGCCGGAGGGAAAAGGGGAAGCCGCCGAAGGAAUCCAUCAGCGUCCCGGAGCAAGGAUUCCUGGGCUGCUGCAGAAGAUGCAGCAGACUGUCACAGGGCUGUGGAGAGCUAUCAUUGGC
Regulatory RNA element from Lachnoclostridium sp. An131, 174 nucleotides. It matches the Rfam family "Lysine riboswitch aptamer". From Rfam's summary of the family: Riboswitches are metabolite binding domains within certain messenger RNAs that serve as precision sensors for their corresponding targets. Allosteric rearrangement of mRNA structure is mediated by ligand binding, and this results in modulation of gene expression. The record is from Rfam. Lineage: Bacteria; Bacillati; Bacillota; Clostridia; Lachnospirales; Lachnospiraceae.